This 586-nucleotide long non-coding RNA is filed under the name Ananas comosus (pineapple). Its description in RNAcentral is "long non-coding RNA (ACOM_LNC017821)". The record is from RNAcentral. Lineage: Eukaryota; Viridiplantae; Streptophyta; Magnoliopsida; Poales; Bromeliaceae.
CCAAUUUGGUCCGAUUCGAGGGCGGCGUGCGCGACCGCCGAACGGACAGAGUCUCCCCUGUCCGCCCAAGGCUAAGCAUCGGAUUGUGUACAACAAGUCCCCAAGAAAACAACUUGCAUUCAUACACAAUCAACAACGAAACGAAAGCACAAACAGUGCUAUAACCAACUAGAGCAAGCGAUACAAGUAAAAUCAUACAAGUAUACAAAAGAGAGAAACUUAACUAUUUACACAUAUUUGAAACAUCAAACCUCUUUCGAUAUCAUUUAAACUUUAAACAUUUAAUACAACUUGCAUUCUUUUUCCAAAUGAAUAUACAUCAUAAACUCUCCAAAACCUCACCCUAUACAUCAUCUACUCUCAAAGCAUAACCAAAAGUACAGGGUAUAGAGCUAAUGCAAGUAGGUGAAGGAAGCUAUCUAUCAAAGCUAGGGCGCUAUGCCCUUACCGCGAUCCAUCGACGAAGGCCCGCUGUCCUGUGUACCUGUACUCCCAAAACCACACGGGAGUGAGAACUACGAAUAGUUCCCAGUGGGUUCGGCCGCCGACUCCGCCGAUCUACCCACUAGGUCUCAAGCAGGCAUAG